This 299-nucleotide unclassified non-coding RNA is filed under the name uncultured fungus. RNAcentral describes it as "partial contains 5.8S ribosomal RNA, internal transcribed spacer 2, and large subunit ribosomal RNA". Lineage: Eukaryota; Fungi. The record is from RNAcentral.
AACGCAAAUUGCACUCUCUGGCAUUCCGGAGAGUAUGCCUGUUUGAGGGUCAGUAUAAUAAAAAUCGGUAGCGUUGCCAUUUUGGUAACGCUUCGGAGUUUGGGUUAUCUUAACUUUUUUUCUAAGUUUAAGAGGCUUAAAAUUGAUCUUUUUGCGCAUUUUUUAGACGUAUAUAAUAAUUUCUAUUCGUCUUCAUUAUGCCAAAUUUUUAGUAGACGUGAUCGUAUUUUACAUGAUUAUGUCUAUAGAUAGUUUCAUGAUUUGACCUCAAAUCAGGUAGGGAUACCCGCUGAACUUAA